Molecule: ribosomal RNA, 895 nt
Filed under: Tyromyces chioneus
Lineage: Eukaryota; Fungi; Basidiomycota; Agaricomycetes; Polyporales; Incrustoporiaceae
Description: LSU rRNA
Rfam family: Eukaryotic large subunit ribosomal RNA
Source: RNAcentral
AUAUCAAUAAGCGGAGGAAAAGAAACUAACAAGGAUUCCCCUAGUAACUGCGAGUGAAGCGGGAAAAGCUCAAAUUUAAAAUCUGGCGGUUUUGGCCGUCCGAGUUGUAGUCUGGAGAAGUGCUUUCCGCGCCGGACCGUGUACAAGUCUCCUGGAACGGAGCGUCAUAGAGGGUGAGAAUCCCGUCUUUGACACGGACUACCGGUGCUUUGUGAUGCGCUCUCAAAGAGUCGAGUUGUUUGGGAAUGCAGCUCAAAAUGGGUGGUGAAUUCCAUCUAAAGCUAAAUAUUGGCGAGAGACCGAUAGCGAACAAGUACCGUGAGGGAAAGAUGAAAAGCACUUUGGAAAGAGAGUUAAACAGUACGUGAAAUUGCUGAAAGGGAAACGAUUGAAGUCAGUCGCGUCGUCCGGAACUCAGCCUUGCCUCGGCUUGGUGCACUUUCCGGUUGACGGGCCAGCAUCGAUUUUGACCGGCGGAUAAAGGUUCGAGGAAUGUGGCACCCUCGGGUGUGUUAUAGCCUCGGAUUGUAUACGUCGGUUGGGAUCGAGGAACUCAGCUUCGGCUUAGGAUGCUGGCGUAAUGGCUUUAAACGACCCGUCUUGAAACACGGACCAAGGAGUCUAACAUGCCCGCGAGUGUUUGGGUGGUAAACCCAGGCGCGUAAUGAAAGUGAAAGUCGAGACCUCUGUCGUGGAGGGCAUCGACGCCCGGACCUGACCUUCUGUGACGGCUCCGCGGUAGAGCGUGUAUGUUGGGACCCGAAAGAUGGUGAACUAUGCCUGAAUAGGGUGAAGCCAGAGGAAACUCUGGUGGAGGCUCGUAGCGAUUCUGACGUGCAAAUCGAUCGUCAAAUUUGGGUAUAGGGGCGAAAGACUAAUCGAACCAUCUAGCUGG